AAGUCGUAACAAGGUAACCGUAGGUGAACCUGCGGUUGGAUCAUUACUGAAUACUCAUCAAUGGGGGAUUUCCCAUGUUACUCCGGUAACAUGGUCCCCAUUGUUUGAUAUACACCCCCUUGUGAACCGUUUAACGUAUUUUUGGCGGCCCUCCAAAAAUGGGGUAUUUGUUUACCCCUUGGGCUGUCCAUGUUUUAAUAAACACCUAUUGAUUUUAUCAUGAGUCUCCGAGCGAUUCUUUAUUGAAGAAACGCGUUUUUUAAAUGAAAAACAACUUUUGACAACGGAUCUCUUGGCUCUC
Molecule: unclassified non-coding RNA, 301 nt
Filed under: fungal sp.
Lineage: Eukaryota; Fungi
Description: partial internal transcribed spacer region
Rfam family: Eukaryotic small subunit ribosomal RNA (bases 1-46)
Source: RNAcentral